GACGAACGCUGGCGGCGUGCUUAACACAUGCAAGUCGAACGGAAAGGCCCUGCUUUUGUGGGGUGCUCGAGUGGCGAACGGGUGAGUAACACGUGAGUAACCUGCCCUUGACUUUGGGAUCACUUCAGGAAACUGGGGCUAAUACCGUAUAGGAGCUCCUGCUGCAUGGUGGGGGUUGGAAAGUUUCGGCGGUUGGGUAUGGACUCGCGGCUUAUCAGCUUGUUGGUGGGGUAGUGGCUUACCAAGGCUUUGCCGGGUAGCCGGCCUGAGAGGGUGACCGGCCACAUUGGGACUGAGAUACGGCCCAGACUCCAACGGGAGGCAGCAGGGGGGAAUAUUGCACAAUGGGCGGAAGCCUGAGGCAGCAACGCCGCGUGCGGGAUGACGGCCUUCGGGUUGUAAACCGCUUGCGCCUGUGACGAAGCGUGAGUGACGGUAAUGGGUAAAGAAGCACCGGCUAACUACGUG
This 468-nucleotide ribosomal RNA is filed under the name uncultured bacterium. RNAcentral describes it as "partial 16S ribosomal RNA". It matches the Rfam family "Bacterial small subunit ribosomal RNA", at positions 28 to 507 of the family's 1533-position model. The record is from RNAcentral.